AGCCGUCCCCGUGCUCGAAUUAACCCUUCCGAAUCUAAGUACGGAGUUAAUGAGAGGAGAGGACUUGUUUUUGGGAUUGGUUUGGAUGACCUUAAGGCUCUCCUCUCCUCUGGAAAGGCCUCUUGUUGCAACCUUUUUAACCAGUACAAUUUGGCUUGCUUAACUAAAUUUGGAGUCAGAAUUAUUGAUGAAGCAGAUGCCUUAAUACAUCUCGUGGGAAGGUUUUGGUCAGGUUGACUUUUAAUUCUUACGCGAAGGGUUUGGAUGAAGCGAAGUAGCCAUGCUCUGGAGGCUCGACUGUUUUUCUUCAAGCGACGUGUUUGGAGACGAUAAGUUCCUGUCGGUGGGCCACGAGGACGUUUUUAGCCAUUGCGGACCAGACCACCAUAACAGGAGUCAGGAUCGUAGGAGUGAAAACGUCCUCAAGUUCCCAGAACCGGCGUAGAUCCUGGUCGAG
This is a long non-coding RNA of Osmia bicornis bicornis, 457 nucleotides long. RefSeq lists it as uncharacterized. The record is from RefSeq and is a predicted model, not a curated record. Lineage: Eukaryota; Metazoa; Arthropoda; Insecta; Hymenoptera; Megachilidae. The transcript has 3 exons.